AAAAGAUUUGUUGUGAGGCUCUUUCCCUAAGCAGCCUUAGGUAAUCUGUGAAAAUGGUUCGCUAUUCACUUGACCCGGAGAACCCCAUGAAAUCAUGCAAAUCAAGAGGUUCCAAUCUUCGUGUUCACUUUAAGAACACUCGUGAAACUGCUCAGGCCAUCAAGGGUAUGCAUAUACGAAAAGCCAUGAAGUAUCUGAAAGAUGUCACUUUACAGAAACAGUGUGUACCUUUCCGAUGUUACAAUGGUGGAGUUGGCAGGUGUGCGCAGGCCAAGCAGUGGGGCUGGACACAAGGUCGGUGGCCCAAAAAGAGUGCUGAAUUUUUGCUGCACAUGCUUAAAACCGCAGGGAGUAAUGCUGAACUAAGGGUUUAGAUGUAGAUUCUGUGGUCAUUGAGCAUAUCCAAGUGAACACAGCACCUAAGAUGCGCCGCCGGACCUACAGAGCUCAUGGUCGGAUUAACCCAUACAUGAGCUCUCCCUGCCACAUUGAGAUGAUCCUUACGGAAAAGGAACAGAUUGCUCCUAAACCAGAAGAGGAGGUAGCCCAGAAGAAAAAGAUAUCCCAGAAGAAACUGAAGAAACAAAAACUUAUGGCACGGGAGUAAAUUCAGCAUUAAAAUAAAUGUAAUUAAAAGGAAAAAAAAAAAGAUUUGUUGUGAGGAGUUAGAAUA
RNA transcript from Nomascus leucogenys (northern white-cheeked gibbon), 673 nucleotides. It is a transcript of the gene named 60S ribosomal protein L17 pseudogene, with no coding region annotated. Lineage: Eukaryota; Metazoa; Chordata; Mammalia; Primates; Hylobatidae. The transcript has a single exon. The record is from RefSeq and is a predicted model, not a curated record.